This 254-nucleotide ribosomal RNA is filed under the name uncultured bacterium. RNAcentral describes it as "partial 16S ribosomal RNA". It matches the Rfam family "Bacterial small subunit ribosomal RNA", at positions 793 to 1055 of the family's 1533-position model. The record is from RNAcentral.
GUCCACACCGUAAACGAUGAUUACUAGAUUUUGGCCGCAAGGUCAGAGUCCAAGCGAAAGUGUUUAGUAAUCCACCUGGGGAGUACGUCCGCAAGGAUGAAACUCAAAGGAAUUGACGGGGCCGCACAAGCGGUGGAGCAUGUGGUUUAAUUCGAUGAUACGCGAGGAACCUUACCUGGGCUUGAAAGUUAGUGACCGUCUCUGAAAGGAGAUUUUCCGCAAGGACACGAAACUAGGUGCUGCAUGGCUGUCGU